GUAUCCCUUGCCAAAUAUGGCCCCGUCGCCCCCCUCCUAAGGGGAAGGUCGCCCGUUCGAAUCGGGCCGGGGUCACCA
Molecule: transfer RNA, 78 nt
Filed under: Stenotrophomonas sp. 278
Lineage: Bacteria; Pseudomonadati; Pseudomonadota; Gammaproteobacteria; Lysobacterales; Lysobacteraceae
Description: tRNA-Arg
Source: RNAcentral